This 305-nucleotide ribosomal RNA is filed under the name uncultured bacterium. Its description in RNAcentral is "bacterial SSU rRNA". It matches the Rfam family "Bacterial small subunit ribosomal RNA", at positions 338 to 634 of the family's 1533-position model. The record is from RNAcentral.
CCUACGGGGCGCAGCAGUGGGGAAUAUUCCACAAUGGGGGACACCCUGAUGCAGCGACGCCGCGUGAGUGAAGAAGGUCUUCGGAUCGUAAAACCCUGUUGUUAGAGAAGAAAGUGCGUGAGAGUAACUGUUCACGUUUCGACGGUAUCUAACCAGAAAGCCACGGCUAACUACGUGCCAGCAGCCGCGGUAAUACGUAGGUGGCAAGCGUUAUCCGGAUUUAUUGGGCGUAAAGGGAACGCAGGCGGUCUUUUAAGUCUGAUGUGAAAGCCUUCGGCUUAACCGCAGUAGUGCAUUGGGAAACC